Molecule: ribosomal RNA, 805 nt
Filed under: uncultured bacterium
Lineage: Bacteria
Description: bacterial SSU rRNA
Rfam family: Bacterial small subunit ribosomal RNA
Source: RNAcentral
GAAUUCGCCCUUAGAGUUUGAUCCUGGCUCAGGACGAACGCUGGCGGCGCGCCUAACACAUGCAAGUCGAACGAGAGAGAGGGAGCUUGCUUCCUCAAUCGAGUGGCGAACGGGUGAGUAACGCGUGAGGAACCUGCCUCAAAGAGGGGGACAACAGUUGGAAACGACUGCUAAUACCGCAUAAGCCCACAGGUCGGCAUCGACCAGAGGGAAAAGGAGCAAUCCGCUUUGAGAUGGCCUCGCGUCCGAUUAGCUAGUUGGUGAGGUAACGGCCCACCAAGGCAACGAUCGGUAGCCGGACUGAGAGGUUGAACGGCCACAUUGGGACUGAGACACGGCCCAGACUCCUACGGGAGGCAGCAGUGGGGAAUAUUGCACAAUGGGGGAAACCCUGAUGCAGCGACGCCGCGUGGAGGAAGAAGGUCUUCGGAUUGUAAACUCCUGUUGUUGAGGAGGAUAAUGACGGUACUCAACAAGGAAGUGACGGCUAACUACGUGCCAGCAGCCGCGGUAAAACGUAGGUCACAAGCGUUGUCCGGAAUUACUGGGUGUAAAGGGAGCGCAGGCGGGAAGACAAGUUGGAAGUGAAAUCUAUGGGCUCAACCCAUAAACUGCUUUCAAAACUGUUUUUCUUGAGUAGUGCAGAGGUAGGCGGAAUUCCCGGUGUAGCGGUGGAAUGCGUAGAUAUCGGGAGGAACACCAGUGGCGAAGGCGGCCUACUGGGCACCAACUGACGCUGAGGCUCGAAAGUGUGGGUAGCAAACAGGAUUAGAUACCCUGGUAGUCCACACCGUAAACGAUGAUU